Leucoraja erinaceus (little skate) is the source of this 3323-nucleotide long non-coding RNA. RefSeq lists it as uncharacterized. The record is from RefSeq and is a predicted model, not a curated record. Lineage: Eukaryota; Metazoa; Chordata; Chondrichthyes; Rajiformes; Rajidae. The transcript is spliced from 3 exons.
UAUAGACUCAGUGGGCCGAAGGGCCUGUUUUUGCACUGUAUCUCUAAACUAAACUAAUUCACUGGUUCUCUUGUGCCCUUGCCUCUGUCUCCGAUUUCACCAACGGAUACGGAGGACCUCCAUUCCCAGUAACCUUCCUCCUCAACCCUCCUUCUAUGCUGUCUUGGGCAAGCAGAAGUCACCAGUCGUCUAUAUCUUGGCUACCAUGGACCUUCUGUGGACUAACGAGCUUAACCUGGCCAAUCUGCACACUGACAGUUGCCGUCUUGCCCGAGGAGAUCCAGAGCAUCUGCAAUGUUCACUCGCUCAUUCCAACAAAGCCUCUGCUGGGUUCGAUCCAGAAUAUGAGGCACUGUCCUAACCAUUGGAGAUUGAUGCCAUGUUGAAAAUAACCUGAAGUAAUCGGAAAGGAAUGGAUGGAUCCUGCUUUUUAUUGCUCCCUCCAGCAAGAUGGCGGUGGUACGCUUCAUCCUCCAGAUCACCACAACAGCAGUCUGCAGUAUCAUCGGGCAGCUCAUUAUGAUGAUGGUAGCCGGAAUCACCAGGGCAAUGAUCCAGACUUCCAAUUUGUACAUUGACAUAAUUGAAACCGCCUUAUUGGGUUAAAGCACAGAAUGGAUUUAGAUGAAGGAAAUAAUAUGAGCCACUGAAUUCCAUCGUCACCUAAAAAGCAUACCAUCGUUUCUACUUCCUCAGAAGACAAGGAUAUUUGGCAUUAAUUUAAAGACUUUUCUUCAACUUCUACCGUUGAACUGUAGAAAACGUACUGCCGGGUUGCAUCACAGCUUGGUUUGGGAACAGCUUUGCCCAAGAACACAAGGAGUUGUGGAUCACUCCAGCACACAGACCAGACUUCCCACCAUUGACUACCUUUACACUUCACUCCCUUGGGAAAACAGCCAACAUAAUCAAAGACCUUUUCCACCCUUGUCAUUUCCACUUUUCCCUGUUUCAACCACAAAGAGGAUAUAAAAGCUUGAAAGCGCGUACUUUCAGACUUGGGAGCAGCUAAUUCAUUUCACUUGCACUUUAUGUGCAAUGUGACGAAUAAAACCGUAUUGUAUUGUAUUGUACCUUCUUCCCCUAAUUUCCAACCAACAUCAUUGUGAACAUUGGACUUUUUCUCAGAAACUAUUAUGCUACAAUGUUGAGAAAUUGUAUGCUGCACUAUGCAUGUUUCUCUUCUCUCUACCUAUUGUGCUUGUGUAUGGCUUGAUUGUAUUUAUGUACAGUAUUACGUGAUUUAAUUGCAUAGCAUGCAAACAAAACUUUUUCACUAUCUCAGUGCACAACAAUAAAGCAAUUUAAACUUGUUUUGUGUGCCACAGUAGAUGACUUCACAUUGCCAUAUUAUAUUCCUUCUGUUAUGUUCUGGCCCACACAAUCAGCUUGUUUCUAUCCCUUUAAAACAUCUUUACAUCCUUCUCACUACUCAAACAUUUCCAAAGUUUUGUAUCAUCAGUAAAAUUGGAAAUGUGAUAUUUGGCUUCCUCAUCCAACGUUGAAGAAGACUGAAUAAUCAGGGUUCCUGGGUUACCCACCUAUCUAUUUCCAAUCCUUGGUUUCUGCCUGUCAGCCAAUUCUCAAUAGCCAGCAGUAUACUACACUAAUCACAUACCUUUUGAAGUUCUAAAUGUACCACUGCCAUUGUCCAUUAAACCAACCAUAUCCUCAAAAUCUUCAAAAAAAUUAACACCAUGCAGCUUAUCCUCCCACGCAUUUUACUUAUUUCAGAUGAAACCAUUUGCAUCAGACAUAACCUUUACAACCAUCAUGUGUGGGAAGGAACUGCAGAUGCCGGUUUAAAUAGAUACAAAGAGCUGGAGUAACUCGGCACAGACAUCAUCAAUGGAGAAAAGGAAUUACUGACGUUUCUAACGUUUCAGAUCGAGACCCUACUUCAGACAGCCAGAAAAGCAAUGAGCACAGACUUUAUUGUGUAGGAAAGAACUGCAGAAGUUGGUUUAAAUAUCUAGGGAAAUGGAUGUGGAAUUGUUCUGCCAGAGCCAGUCCAAACACAAUAGACCGAAUGGCCUCUUUCUCUCCAGCUACAUUUCUUUGAUUCUAUAUGUGUCCAUUUCCCUUUUAACCACCUCAUUCCCCUCCCCCUCCCACAGGGUGGCAUGGUGGCGCAGUGGUAGAGUUGUUAACUUGCAGUGCCGAAGUCCUGGGUUUAAUCCCGACUCCGGGUGUUGUCUGUACGGAGUUUGUGACCACGUGGGUUUUCUCUGAGAUCUUCGUUUUUGGGAUGUGGAAGGAAACUGGAGGAGGCCUACACGGUCACAAGGAGAACAUGCAAACUCCACACAGACAGCACACAAGGUCAGGAUCGAACCUGGAUCUUGUGCGCUGAUGAUAUAGCAACUCUACCAGCUGAGCCACUGUGCCUCCCAAUGAUCUUAGCAAUCCAGUAACCUGACCCAACUCUAUCCAGCCUCAACUCCACGUAAACCAAGUAAAUCAUUUUAUUAGAUUAUUAGUCGAACACACUCUUAAUUACCCUCCCAUCUGCUACGGUAUGGAAGAGCCACAUCAAUGAUCCGUCUUCAAUUGCCCUUGAAGUUUCUGCCUUUUUGAUAAGCUGCCGAUUAUGAAAAGUGCCCCCAUUGUUCCCGCUGCUUCUAUCCUACCAUGUGUAUUGUGAUCAAGGGAUUAGUUACUUCUAAUGGGAGAGGAUGCAUAUGCAAUAGUACUAUUAGCUCUGCUUCCAUGGCUACUCAUAGGUAUUUCUGAUGUAAACACUUCAUCUUGUUCAGUUAGCACAAUUAUAAUCACAUUGAUUUUCUUGAUUGAGUAUAUAGAAUGAGAAUGGAUGUGGGAGGAGAGAGAAGUCUAAAUAUAAGAAUAUAAACAGAAGUAAUGUUUAACUUCUCAAACACUGUGCAAAACCAUAUCUAUGUCUUGGGUUCACUUUUCAUCCAACGCCUGUCUUUUCCCCCCAAAAAACAAACUAUAUGCAGAAGAAAAAAUAUGUACAAAACCAAACACUGCAAAAACUCAUUAUCAGUGCCUAUACAUUGGAUGGUGUCAUAGAAACAUAGAAAAUAGGUUGCAGGAGUAGGCAAUUCGGCCCUUCGAGUCAGCACCACCAUUCAAUACGAUCAUGGCUGAUCAUCCUAAAUCAGUUCCCCAUUGCUGCUUUCUCCCCAUAUCCCUUGAUUCUGUACUUUGAUUCUCAUCAUUCAUACUCUAGUGUUCACAUCUAUCUUUAAACAAAAUACCCUUGUGGCCGUGAGGGGAUAUCCCUGCCCUUGUUUGAGGGGGGUUUCCACUAGACUCUGCCCCUCAAUGUUCAGCAGCGGAAGGACCUUAGACAGUGCUUC